CAAUCAUUCCCAUUCCCCAGGUGUGCACAAUCAUUCCAUUACUCCUUUAUGCUUCGGUACCAUUAAACCAAGGCAUAAACGAGUAACUCUUGGAGUCGAGAUGCUUUUAUGUCCAAAGUGAAAUUCUCAAGAGUUUGUGAGGCUCAUCCACCCUCGGGCCAGCUCAGGGAAGGAACCAGCAGGAACCCAAAGCCUCUGCCUUUUCCAGUCUCCAGGCCCCUGCUGCCACCACUGCCCCAGUCAAGGCCCUCAGCAUGCCCCAACUCAGAGGUGCACCCUCAUUCAUGCUACCCUUCCGAGACCUGCUUCCCCACCCCAGACUGGCUGAAGACCCCAUGGACUCCCGCCCAGCCAAGGGAGAGAGCUGAGAACACUCGACAAAGGGGCUUCAGUGAUGUCAUCUUUGACAGGUGGGAAACUGAUCAGAAACGCCAAAACAUUUGCCCAAACUGCUGACAGUAAGAGGUAACAGUUGGACCGGAGCCAUGCCUCUAAGACUACCAUUAAGGCACUGUCAGGCAGGUCUGUAUGAGGCCCGGUGCCCAAGGCACCCAAGAACUGCAGAGAAUCCUUUGAAAAUGUUUGAGACCCAGAUGCAUAAACACUUGGGCUCUAGAAUGCAAAAGGGGAACGCCAAGUCCAAAUGAACCCAUGUUUUAUUAUGUUUAAGAACAGGAUGUCAACUUUAUUGUGGUUAAAAUCCAUCCAUCUGGAAAGAGGCUUGGGUUGGGAAUGCUCUCCCUGAGAAGACCCCAAGCAGAUCGCCGGCAGUUGUCUACUUUAGAGAGCUGCCUGUGGCCAAUAGAUUUCCAAAGCAAAAUGAUAAAUUACAAGAAUAAUUAACCCGAUGCGCAUUUAGCACGUGGAGAGUCUGCUUCGAGUUGGGAGUGUUUUAACUCCUUUAAUCCCAACAUCGCCUCUACUGGGUGCGGCUGUUUUGAUACAGGUCCAUGCGAUGGGGAAACUGAGGCACAGGGAAGUCAAAGAGCUGAGGAGGGACACAGCUGGGGUUUGAACCUCACCAGACCCCCUCAUGUGGUCGGCACUCUUGACCCCUGUGCUGUCUUCAGCCUUGUGUUUCACGGCAGAGUCUUCAGUGGAAUUGGAGAUGCGGAUACCAUGGUGACCGUUUGAUUUUGAAAGGGUAUGGAUGUCGGGCACGGCGCAGUUUGGGGUUCCAGAUCUGGACGAUGGUGGGAAGCUAGGUCAGGACUCCUCUAUGUCCCCUCCAAUCCCCGUUCUCCUCCCCGGACUGCAAGCCACCCAAGGCAGGUCGCCUCCCGCCCUGGACCUGGCUGCCAGACAGGAUGCAGCCCCGCCCCUGACCACGCCCUGGUGGCCGGCUCUGAUUGGAUCCGGGUGGGUGUAACCCCUAGAGCAGUACUUCAUACAACAGCUGGUAGCGAAUUAGAGGACGUACUUCGAAAGAUCGGCCUGCAAGGCUCUUCUUGCGCGGUGAUUGGCUCCCAAUCUUCCCUUCUCCUCUAGCAUCUGCCUCCAAACUGUGUCUCAGCAGCAAGUUGUUUAGAAGCUAAGGCUGGGGCUCAGAAAACAUUGUCUCCCCGUUGCCCAGUAGCAUACAGAGGGAGCUCAAGCAAUCGAUAUAUGUUGGACUUCCCUGGUGGACCAGUGGUUAAGAAUCCGCUUGCCAAUGCAGGGGACACGGGUUUGAUCCCUGGUCUGGGAAGAUUCCACAUGCCAGCAGAGCAACCAAGCCCAGUGCACCUCAACUACUGAAGCCUGAGGGAUCUCGAGCCCGCGUUUCUGCAGCUACUGAAGCCUGUGGUGCCCUAGAAUCUGUGCUCCUCAACAAGACAAGCCAAAGCAAUGACAAGCUGGCUAGACUAGAGACUAGAGAGUAGCUCCAUUUUCACAGCUAAAGAAAGGCUGCGUGCAGCAACAAAGAUCCCGUGCAGCUGAAGAUAAGUAAAAUUUAAAAAGAAAUAAAUAUCGACUGGUAUAAUUAAUGAAUUAAUCUGGUAGCAGAGAUUUGGGAGCUCUCCACCCUUGUGAAACAGAAACAGGCCCUGUGGGGCCUUCCCAGUGACAGACAUCUGUGUUCCCCACUUCUUGCUUGUAGAAAAAGCUUUUAGCCUCUUAGGCCUUAUCUGAGAGCAGACUCAGCAAUUGAUGAUUGGAGAAGUGGGAAAUCAGGGACAAAAAUGAAGCAGUCAAGCGGGAAAGUAAUAGCAAAUUAAAUAAUAGGUCCACCAGAAAAAAGAGUCACAAAACCCCUAGCUUCUCCUUGAGGUUACCCCUCUAUGGAGAGCCUUCUGACACAUAUUCUUAUGCUGUUUUGGCAGAAACCAGGACCCUACCAGAUGGAAACUGCUGACCUCAAACAUAUAGAGCCUAAACUGGUUGGAGGCAGAAGAUUGAUCACUCUGUUAACUCACCACCAACCAAUCAGAAAAAUGUCCAUGACAUGGUCAUACACCCUGUGACCCUCACCCCUAAUGCUGCUUUGAAAAACCCUUUCCUGGAAGCCAUCAGAGGUCGGACAUCUUUGGCACUUUGGCUACCUUCUCUUCUUGCUUGGCACUGUUCAAAGCUCCUUGCAACCAGGCUGAGGUGAGGUUGGCACAGAGGAUUUGGCUGAGGGUGUUUGCUGAAUUAAUG
This is a long non-coding RNA of Bos taurus (domestic cattle), 2619 nucleotides long. The record is from Ensembl. NCBI's taxonomy places the organism in Eukaryota, Metazoa, Chordata, Mammalia, Artiodactyla, Bovidae.